RNAcentral lists this ribosomal RNA (492 nucleotides) under uncultured bacterium. Its description in RNAcentral is "partial 16S ribosomal RNA". It matches the Rfam family "Bacterial small subunit ribosomal RNA", at positions 29 to 507 of the family's 1533-position model. The record is from RNAcentral.
AGUGAACGCUGGCGGUAGGCCUAACACAUGCAAGUCGAACGGCAGCACAGUAAGAGCUUGCUCUUACGGGUGGCGAGUGGCGGACGGGUGAGGAAUACAUCGGAAUCUACUUUUUCGUGGGGGAUAACGUAGGGAAACUUACGCUAAUACCGCAUACGACCUACGGGUGAAAGCAGGGGAUCUUCGGACCUUGCGCGAUUGAAUGAGCCGAUGUCGGAUUAGCUAGUUGGCGGGGUAAAGGCCCGCCAAGGCGACGAUCCGUAGCUGGUCUGAGAGGAUGAUCAGCCACACUGGAACUGAGACACGGUCCAGACUCCUACGGGAGGCAGCAGUGGGGAAUAUUGGACAAUGGGCGCAAGCCUGAUCCAGCCAUGCCGCGUGAGUGAAGAAGGCCUUCGGGUUGUAAAGCCCUUUUGUUGGGAAAGAAAAGCAGCAGGUUAAUACCCCGCUGUUCUGACGGUACCCAAAGAAUAAGCACCGGCUAACUUCGUG